Non-coding RNA from Arachis ipaensis, 337 nucleotides. Lineage: Eukaryota; Viridiplantae; Streptophyta; Magnoliopsida; Fabales; Fabaceae. The record is from RefSeq and is a predicted model, not a curated record.
ACGGAAUUCGAAUCCCUAAUACUUACUUAAACAAACAAGUAAGAUGACCACUCAACCAACUCAAAUUGGUUGAGACAAAUACUAUUUAAAAUCAAGCGACAAAGUACAAGUUAAUGUAAGAAGUUAUACAAAGAACUCGAACAAAGUGACCUUAAUGAGAUCGGAUAAAAAACUAGCGGUAAAAGUAACUUAAUAAAGACUAACUACUCGAAGUCAGCGCUGUGAAAAGAAACUAAUAACUUAUAGAGUUAAACCCCAAAGUGGUCCCUGAGAUUCACGGUUUGCACCAAUUUAGUCCCUGACUUACCAAUUGCACCAUUUAUGUUCGUGAAAUUGU